Molecule: ribosomal RNA, 408 nt
Filed under: uncultured bacterium
Lineage: Bacteria
Description: bacterial SSU rRNA
Rfam family: Bacterial small subunit ribosomal RNA
Source: RNAcentral
AGGGAAUAUUGCGCAAUGGACGGAAGUCUGACGCAGCGACGCCGCGUGAGCGAUGAAGGUCUUCGGAUCGUAAAGCUCUGUCCUUGGGGAAGAAGGCGAAAGCUUGACGGUACCCAAGAAGAAAGCCCCGGCUAACUACGUGCCAGCAGCCGCGGUAAUACGUAGGGGGCGAGCGUUGUCCGGAAUUACUGGGCGUAAAGGGUGCGUAGGCGGCCCUGUAAGUCGGAUGUGAAAGCCCGCGGCUUAACCGCGGAAUGGCAUUCGAAACUGGAGGGCUUGAGUGUCGGAGAGGGUAGUGGAAUUCCCAGUGUAGCGGUGAAAUGCGUAGAUAUUGGGAGGAACACCAGUGGCGAAGGCGACUACCUGGACGAUAACUGACGCUGAGGCACGAAAGCUAGGGGAGCAAAC